GGUUACACACCACUGCAUAUAGCAGCACUCCAUUCACAUGUUGACAUUAUGGAUCUUCUAAUUCAUAACUAUGGUGCAAAAACAAACGUAAGAGACUAUAGUGGACGGUUUGCAUCUCACUAUCUGAAGGACAAUGAUGACUCUGCUGACUGCUCAAAUGUCUCUUCACAACUCCAACAGUCCCGGGGCGAACGACGGAAUCGAAAACUUGCUGGUCUGUUCCUGCCAAAGAGCUAUGGAAGCAGCAGAAAACAUUGGGGUUCGGUGGAGAACCUGACAAUGGAAGACAAAGAUGGCUCCAUAUUUCUGUCUGUACCUACGUCGUACAAAGCUGUGCGCAAGUUUUCCCGAUAAGGUCCUUCAGAAAAUGUGGCUCAAAUGAGCCAGUGGAUCUGAUAUAUUUUUAUAAACUGCAUAUAUAAUGGCUUAUUAAAUGAAAUAUUAAAUCAUAAAAGUUGACAUUCAUCAGCAAAUGUGUUUUAGGACACAUUUUUUCACAAUGUUAUAAAGUUGACACACAGUGCAGAGGAAUCUUUUCUUCUAAAGCUUUUAAUGUGUUAAUGUAUAUCAUAUUAAUUAGUUCAAUGAAUGAAAAGUUAGCUGCAUGUAUUUGAGAUUUUUGUUCCUUCUGCCUCCCAUCACAAGUUCAGGAAUGAGAAAUCUCAUGCAUAGGCUAAUCAUGAAGGAUCAUGAUUAAUGAAAUUAAUAGGGGAGAGAAGUGGCAUGGGUGCUGAGGAGGUGACCCUUGCUUUGAUUGCAGGUUUCCCUUUCUGUGGUGCUAAGAUUUACUUUGAACCUUUCUUAUUCGGGCAGAGAUAUUGGGUAAGAGCUCAAUAAUCCUGCAGGUCUAUUUUGGUACCUGCAAGAAUAUUUUCAAAAUUAUUUUUCUGAAACCUUUGCAUUUGUUGAAGUUGUGAGAAAUUACUUCAGUGAGUGAUGUAGCAUUUGCCAUAAGAGGGUGCUGUAGAAAAAGCAUUUCUGGAUCUUUAUCCUUAUCAGAGUUUUUUGAACUGGUUGAGAUUGGGGGGAGUGGAGGUGAAUGGUGGAAGGGGAAUAAGCAAGCGUUUUUUUAUUCCGGUAUCAGGUAAUAAAAUAGUACAAUUUCCUAGCAGACGUCAGCUACCAAAUCAAGGUGACAUCUUAAUUUAAAGACAUGCUGCCCUACAGGUUGCAGCCCUGCAGUGACCAGUAGUGAGCUAGGAUUAGCCAGAUUGGAACUGUCUUGCCCAAUUAAAAUAAACAAAUAAAAAGUGAAAGGCACAAUGAGAAUAUAAAAGUAUCUCUGUGUAGUGUGUGUAUCAUCAAUGGAAGUCCUGAUCUAACAGCAUCUUGAAAAGUAUAGUUUAUAAUAUUGCUAGCUGUAAAUUGUUUGAACUUAACAUCUCUGCUGUUCCUGUUAAAUACUGCUGUAGUAAUUGUAACAAAGUCAACCGGGCGGACGACAUUGAAUGAGUUAAAAACUGGAUGCUGUCAAUCAAAAACUAAAACAGAAGUUGCUGCAAAAGCACAGCAGGUCUAGCAGUAUCAGUGAAGAGAAAUCAAAGUUUUUGUUUUGGGUCCGGUGGCCAUUCCUCAGAACAGAAUGAGUUCCCUGAUUUAGGGCUAUUAAACUGGUCCAAUCUAAGGGCCCUGGCUGACACACAAUCAGGAGUGUCAGAUGUUUUGUUCACCGAGCGCUGGCUCUGAGGAAGCUGGAUCAGUGUCAAGGACUCUCCACGUGUAAAUUAAAGGUGAUUUGGGUCAGGAUACUGGCUUCAGUGAUAACAAGAGAAAAGUGCACUCCUGAAGAAAUUCAGUCAUGACAGUCGUCAUUAAGUGGGGGUAAGCAUUUCUGGCAUCAUGCCAUUAUCUGGGAAGCUUGACCCAUUUGAUCCUGUCAUCAAAGACUGGGCUCAGUAUGUGGAAAGAAUGUUAUUUUUUCCAGGCAAAUGACAUUGGGGCAGAUGAAAAGCAACAUGUAAUUCUCCUGACAACUUGUGGACCUGCAGAUUUUUCAGUUAUUAAGACCCGAUACAAAAACCUUUCAAAAAAUUGACCGAUUUAUUUCAGGAAUAUGACAACGCUAAAGCUCGUCUACUUCUGAAAUGCUAUCAGUUUUACUUGGCAACUCAAGAACCAUGGGAUUCCGGAUCAGGAAUUUUGACUAGGUUGAAUUGAUUGGCCGAAGCAUAUGACUUUGGUUUAACCCUUAAUGAGAUGCUGAGGGGUGUUCGGUACAUGGAAUUCCUGAUGAAGGGUUUAUGUCCGAAAUGUCAAUUCUCCUGCACCUCUGAUGCUGCCUGAACUGCUGUGCUUCUCCAAUACCACACUCUUCAACUCUGAUCUCCAGCAUCUGCAGUCUUCACUUUCUCCAUGUAGAAUUCAUGAUGUAACCAUGUAAAAGCGUCAAUUAGCUAAAGCCCAACUGGACAUCAAACAGACACUACAACUGGAAACAGACAUUGAAAAACUCAGCAAGUGGAGCAUACAAGUUGCAGGGUAUUCUGAUGAAAAUGGACACCCUCACCAGUCUUGUCAGCUUAGGGAACACCACUUGAGUGAAGGCAAUUUGUAUAGCCUCACUCAGGACAUAUCCUGAACAGAGGGACUCUAGGUCAGCCCACAGCAAAACCCAAAAUGAAACCAAGCCUCAGCGAAACAGUUAACAUUUUCUUCAGGAUCCGGGUUGGCAAACCAAUGUAGUUGCUGCCAGAAUGCACACUCAAGACAGCAAAAGAGUCCCACUAGACCAAAAUGGACUAAUACAAUCCAUAGGCCAGUAUUCAGGAGAGUGCACACCCUGAAAAGUCCAUCUGUCUGGUUUGGAAGAGUUAAAUUGCUCAGCAAUAUCCAGUCAAUAUAAACAUCUGGUUAAACAGUCACCCUAUUCUAACAGAGAUCAAUAUGCGUGGCUGUUUCAGUGAUCACAGGAUCAGCCUUAAAAUUUGUUCUGGACUCCAACCUUUAAGUUUGCACAGGACCUCAACUAGAAUAAGAACCUACACCAGGGAACCUUUACAGAUUAAGGUUAUGACUUCAGUUCUGAUCUCUUAUGAGAAGCAGCUGAUUCAGUUACCACUGAUUUAAUGAGGUGAAGUUGGUUGAGAAAGAUUCACCCAGAUUGGCUCAACAUGUUUUGAUUAGAAAAUGGCUGCUAGAGUGAAAUCCCAAUUAAAUAAUCAGAAGUUUUUCAGGAGGUUCAAAGAACUAUCAAAGGAGCCAAGACCACCUUGCAUGUUCACAAAGCAAUUCCACGAUUCUGCAAGGUGCACUAAGUGGCAUUUUUCCUAUGGACAAAAGUAGAGGCUGAAAUCAGAAGGCUGGAAAGCAAAGGAAUCCUGACCAGUCCAGUUUGCAUAAUGGGCAGUAACGGUCAUACCAAUUGUGAAGCCGAAUGGAUUGGUUUGCUUUUGUGGAAAUUUUAAAGAAACUGUGUGAACCAUUUCUCGCAGCUGGAUAAAUACUCAAUCCCUCGCAUAGAUAAUUUAUAUGCAAAGCUUGUAGUGGGCCUGUCCUUCACGAAGCUAGACAGGAGUCAUGCGUACUUGCAAUUACAGUUCCAAGAGAAUUCCCAGAAGUAUGCUACAAUUAAAUCCAAUAAGGAUUUGUACCAAAGUAGGCAACUGCCAUUUGGGGUAUUGUCAGCUUGUGCAAUUUUUCAGCAGACGAUGGAAAAUAUUUUCCAAAGUCUAACCCAGGUUACCAUUUAUCCAAAUGACAUGUUAAUAACCAGGAUGAUCAAUAAAGAGCACUUUAGCUUUAUCUAAAAUGUAUUAUUUUUCAGCAUGCAGAUCUUGUAAUUAAUUUUUGCUUAAUAGGAGGAGAGAACUUGGGGAUAAUCCUUAGACGUUUCUCCCAGGUGAGCAUGCGCAUGUGUUCCGUGCACCCGAAGAGAACUAUUAGGCUACAGAAUUGUCAAGACUGGGUCACACCUCUUGGAAGAUGGUGAGGACAAUCAAAGGUGCCCUGGCUCCCAUGUCUGAACCAGAGCUUAGAUCUUUCUUGGGCUGUUGAGUUAUGACAGUUAUACAUAGCCUUGCCUAUGAUGGCAACUUUGCAUCACUCUUAAAAGGUCAACUUCAGAAAUGGUCACAUAGCCAUCCAUUACCUUCAAAAAAGUGAAGAAACAGCUAUUUUCCUCUGUCAGGUGUUGGCAUAUUAUUAUCGUAAGCUAAAUGCGCCCAGAUAGAGAAGGAAGGUUUGGUGAUCAUAUUUGAAGUCAAGAAGUUCCACCAAUACCUUUUACGGGCAUAAAUUUGUGUAAUAAUGGACCACACACCCCUGCGAGAUCUACUUAGAGGACAAAGCAGUGCUGCCCAAAACAUCAGGCUGAAUUGAGCAGUGGGCUGAAUUAAGUGCAUAAAAUUACAAGUUGGAACAAGAUCUGGUCGGCUAAGUAGCACAUGUCGCCUCCUGCUGACAGAUACACCACCAGUGGUAUGCCACUAGAAGAGUCCAUAAAGGUUUUACAUUUUUUGGACACAAUUCUAGUCACAGCUGAGACUAUCAGACUUUGGGUGCAGAAUGAUCAGAUCCUGGCAAAACUCAAACAGCUCGUGGUGAUGGGCGAAACCAAAGGAUGUCACAACUAGAACUGAAAUGUUUUUGGAUCCAGAAAGGCAAUGUAGAGGCUGGCAUAUUGUUAUGAGGGGCAAGCAUGUUUGUUCCAAGUAAAGUUGCUGCCAGGUACUGGCUGAACUCCUUCUGGGUAAUUCAGGAGUUUUCAAAGUGAAGAUCUUAUGCCUGGUGGCCAGGAUUGGUCGCAUUCAAUGCUGAAUUGAUGGGGUACUACCCAGAGUGCCAAAAAGGACAAAAAUUACCACCAGCACCUCCCCCACAUUUUUGGAGAAUGGUUAGGUAAACCCUGGACUUCGGUUUGAUGUUCAAUUCACAGGCCCUUUCAUGGGGUGAAUGUUCUUAGUCAUUGUGGGUGCCCACUCAAAAUGGAUGACAUUCAUAGAAUUCAUUUGUCAAAUACGAGCUCGACAAUAGAAAACUGAGCACAUCCUUUACAAUGCAUGGAUUCCCGGAAGUAUUGGUCUCCGAUAAAAAGCCAUCAUUUACCAGCAGGGAGUUUGAGUAUUGACUCAAGUCAAAUGGUAUUAGCUGUAUAAAGACAGCUCCAUACCAGCUAACAUCCAAUAGUCUGACAGAAACAGCUGUCCAAGCUUUGAAGGCAGGCUUAAAGAAAUAGCCUACAGCUUCACUAACCACCAACGCCAAACCUUAGUAACUGUCUGAAGUGUGGGAUAAUUGUUCAUAACCGACAUGUCAUAUUUAACCUCACUUAUAACCACAUCUUUGCACCAUCUGAGAUUGCCUAUUUAUACAUCUGUAACAUGACCCAACUGUGCCCCUUCCCUCUUCAUUGGUUGAUGUCAAUGUCUAUACAUUUGAUAUUUGUUUUUAGACUAUUCCAACCUCCUUCCUACCCAAUCUACCACAACCUACCCUUUGCAAACUUGAGAUUGUCUAAUAGCCUGACUGUGUCCUAGUUUGGAUCAAGACCCAUUUGACUCAUCAUAAUUGACCUCUCUGACCAUCUUGUCUCCUGGUUAGAUAUCAUUUCAAUUUUAAAAUCUUUUCAUUGUCAUACCCAUCUUGACCCUUGACCAUUCUGGCAUCUUGAGCAUCCGAUUUCAGUCACUCCACCAUUGACUUUCUUUUUUAAAAAAACCUGCUAAGAUAAAUGCAAGAUGAAAAGUUUCAGUGAGAUCUCCCUUUUGGGCAAUAAUCUUUUUAUACUCAUUCCUAGAAUGAGUGUGCUACUAGCAAGACCAUUAUUUAUUAACCUUAAAGUGGUGGUGAGCAACCUUUUUGAACUUGAUCAAUGCAUCUGGUAUCAGUAAACCGACAGUGCUUUUAGGAAGUGAGUUCCAGAUUUUGAUCCAGUGUCAGUAAAGGAGUGGUGAUAUAGUCUCAGUUUGGGAUGGUGUGUGCCUUGGAUGGGAACUGCCGAUGGUGAUAUCCUCGUACAUCUGCUGCUCUUGUUCUUUGUUGAUAGAAGUUGUGGAUUUGGGAGAAGAUUUGCUGAAGGAUGUUUGACAGGGUGAUACAGUACGUGUAUAUUUUACGCUCUGCCACUGUAUACCGGUAGUGGAGAGAUGAAUGAGUUUUGAGGUAACAAAUGAGAUAAAGAUCAAGCAGAUUACUUUCUCCUGAAUAAUGACAAGGUUCUUGAGUAUAGUUAGAUCUGCAAUUACACAACUAAAUAGAGACCACAGAAUAUUAUUGUUAAUGGAAACCUAUUAAAUGGAAUUUUCCUCCAACUGUUUAAGUUUUAUAUAUAAUACAAAGAAGAUGUUAAUCACUUUACUAUUGAAGCUAGAGUUGCACCUCUGUGUUUGUCAGCCAGUGCUGUAAAUGAUUAAUAAUACAGGAAGAAGCUGUAAAUUCAGCAAACUUCACAAACCCAUGUUUGGUCGGUUUUUGCUCGUCUGUUAUGACAUUGGAGCAGAUCAGUUUUCUUGUAAAUCCAUAAUUAUGCAGGUCAAAAUGUCUAAAAUUAAAAAUAUUAAAUACAGAUGCAACAUAUUGAGUGUGUUGGAAAUCUGAAAUAUAAACAGAAAAUUCUGGAUACUCGGGCCCAUGCAGCAUCUGCUUAAAUUUUGUUAUACCAGUAAGUUGUUGUUUCUGUUAGCAAUCUUAAAUAAAGUUAUAUUUGCAAUUAAAA
This is a long non-coding RNA of Hemiscyllium ocellatum (epaulette shark), 6652 nucleotides long. RefSeq lists it as uncharacterized. The record is from RefSeq and is a predicted model, not a curated record. NCBI's taxonomy places the organism in Eukaryota, Metazoa, Chordata, Chondrichthyes, Orectolobiformes, Hemiscylliidae. The transcript is spliced from 3 exons.